Lolium rigidum is the source of this 862-nucleotide long non-coding RNA. RefSeq lists it as uncharacterized. NCBI's taxonomy places the organism in Eukaryota, Viridiplantae, Streptophyta, Magnoliopsida, Poales, Poaceae. The transcript has 5 exons. The record is from RefSeq and is a predicted model, not a curated record.
CAUCCGCCGCCGUCACUUGCUUACACGGCCUGGGGCACGGUCUCCUCCGUCAACCCCCCACCACCGCGGCACCCUCCGGCUCCCGCGCGCACACCGCUAUAAACCCUAGCUCCGCCCUCUACCGUCCCCUACCGGCCAUCGGCGGCGGCCUCCCGCGUCGCGGAUCGCUGGUGAUGUUCCGCCUUCCUCACCUCCGCAGGAUUCGUACCGUCGCCAAGCCACCCCACCUCCUCCGCGUGUCCCCGUGGCAACUAUAUCCGUGGGGUUCGGAUUGCCGGCGCCGCGUCCGUGCACCCGUGCCUCCGGCUACUCCCUCCGGCAGCCAGGCCUCGUCUACGACCUCCGCCACGACCUCCCGUGCUCCUGCUCCUCUACCCCGACGCCUGCGACCACCUCCUGGACCCUGCGUCGACCUGGGCUCCUCUAGUGCUCCGGCUACCCUGUGGUGCUGCUACUUUCGCACCUCAGGCUCACCUCCCCGUGCUGUAUUUGUAUAUUUGGGAGAUCAAAUAUAUUUAUCCAAAUCUGGAGUAGGUGCCCUGAGGUGAUGAACACCACGCUGAAGGGUUGCACUUUUGGUGCUUGAUGCAAUGGCUCUAUAGAGCAAGGAAGACAGUGAGAGAUUAACAUGGUUGUGCCGCGUCUGCACUUGGAUGGUUUUAUUUCCUAAAGUUUUUGCUGUGUGCAGUUUGAGUGCUCUAUAACAGGAACCUACUUUAGUAUUUUUCUCAGAGUACAUGCAUUAGUUCUCCAUAAAAGGCUGGAUUACUAGAAGCAAUUAAAUGAGUGCUGGAUAAACAAAAGUGAGAUUUUGCUACCCCUUGUACAUUGCAGGCCAUGGACGCAUGUAUUCUUUCACUGA